This 95-nucleotide transfer RNA is filed under the name Macrophomina phaseolina. RNAcentral's name for it is "tRNA-Ala". It matches the Rfam family "tRNA". Rfam says of the family: Transfer RNA (tRNA) molecules are approximately 80 nucleotides in length. Their secondary structure includes four short double-helical elements and three loops (D, anti-codon, and T loops). The record is from RNAcentral. RNAcentral also lists the same sequence under 1 other name. Lineage: Eukaryota; Fungi; Ascomycota; Dothideomycetes; Botryosphaeriales; Botryosphaeriaceae.
GGGUCUGUGGUUUAGUGGUAUAAUACUCCCUUAGCAGUAGCAGCUUGUCUGCCCUACAAUGGGAGUGGUCCGGGGUUCGAUUCCCCGCGGAUCCA